Molecule: ribosomal RNA, 243 nt
Filed under: uncultured sulfate-reducing bacterium
Lineage: Bacteria
Description: partial 16S ribosomal RNA
Source: RNAcentral
GGGCGGUGCAUGGACGAAAUUGUACGAAUAUUUCGGUACGAACAAGCUGCCCGCGCAGGUCCGCAUCGCCCUGGCCUGCUGCCUGAACAUGUGCGGCGCCGUGCACUGUUCGGAUAUCGCCAUCCUGGGCGUCCAUCGCAAAGCGCCCUAUCGUGGAAAACGAACGCGUGCAGAACAUCUUGCGAAAUUCCGCUCGUGGAUCGCCGUCCUGUCCGACCGGGGCCAUCCAGCCGAACAAGGUCG